Small nucleolar RNA from Cynocephalus volans (Philippine flying lemur), 72 nucleotides. RefSeq annotates it as small nucleolar RNA SNORD113/SNORD114 family. The transcript has a single exon. The record is from RefSeq and is a predicted model, not a curated record. Lineage: Eukaryota; Metazoa; Chordata; Mammalia; Dermoptera; Cynocephalidae.
UAUACCAAUGACGAGUGUUCUGGAGUGUCUGAAUCAGUGAUUUUGAUUAAACCCUGUAACUCUGAGGUCCAU